GGCCUGAUGGUCUAGUAGUAUGAUUCGCCCUUAGGGAGGUAUUGAACCUGUGAUCUAAAUGGGCGAGGUCCCGGGUUCAAUUCCCGGUUAGGCCC
Molecule: non-coding RNA, 95 nt
Organism: Tulasnella calospora MUT 4182
Lineage: Eukaryota; Fungi; Basidiomycota; Agaricomycetes; Cantharellales; Tulasnellaceae
Source: the annotation of a GenBank genome assembly